CCCUUAGAUGUUCUGGGCCGCACGCGCGCUACACUGAUGCAUUCAACAAGCCUAGCCUUGACCGAGAGGUCCGGGUAAUCUUUGAAACUGCAUCGUGAUGGGGCUAGAUUAUUGCAAUUAUUAAUCUUCAACGAGGAAUGCCUAGUAAGCGUGAUUCAUCAAAUCGCGUUGAUUACGUCCCUGCCCUUUGUACACACCGCCCGACGCUCCUACCGAUUGAAUGUGUUGGUGAGGAGCUCGGAUUGGCAGCAGUUGGUGGUUCGCCACCGGCUAUUGCUGAGAAGUCCUCCAAACCGCCCCAUUUAGAGGAAGGAGAAGUCGUAACA
RNAcentral lists this ribosomal RNA (326 nucleotides) under uncultured eukaryote. RNAcentral's name for it is "partial 18S ribosomal RNA". It matches the Rfam family "Eukaryotic small subunit ribosomal RNA", at positions 1470 to 1796 of the family's 1831-position model. The record is from RNAcentral.